AGUUAAUGAGCUUGAAUUAAGCAUAUAUUUUGAAAAUAUAAGAUAAGAGUAUAAUCUUAUUAACUU
This 66-nucleotide transfer RNA is filed under the name Cerambycidae sp. 7 KM-2017. RNAcentral's name for it is "tRNA-Ser". Lineage: Eukaryota; Metazoa; Arthropoda; Insecta; Coleoptera; Cerambycidae. The record is from RNAcentral.